UUUACAGAAAUCCACCUGCCUCUGUCUCCUGAGUGCUGGGAUUAAAGGUGUGCAUUACCACAUCCUCCUGAAUUCUUAAGCCCAAGAUUACAUGGGCAUCGGUGUGAUCUAAGGGCUGCGUACAACUGUUCUCUAGCCAUGGAACACAGAUGGAAAGAUGCUGUGGACUCGGUGGGGGACACUGGGCGUGGGGCACUGGGUGUGGCUACAGAGCCAGCCCAGGCAGCAGCAGAGGAGGGCGUGGCACCAAGUCCUAACUACACUCCCCUGGGGCUUCCCUGGCAAUUUCUUCCUGUAAUAGUUUGAACUAUUGAAACGGCAGGGAGUUAAAAACACGCCCUGAGUUUCCUGCCUCUUCCAUAAAAAUCCAUAGCCAGGUUUUCUGCUCGUUCUGUAAGGGGAGGAGAGUUGUCCACAACUGUGUGAGACCAUUUCCUACUUUCCAUUUAGUAAAUACAUAAACCCGGGAAAGGAAGAGAAAAGAGGAGAUAGGCCACAAGAGGAGGAAGGGGCAGAGGAGAAAGAAAGGCUCCACCAUCUGCAGAGGGGAAAGUGGCUAACUGCUCUAAAAUUCAAAUGGAAGCUGAGCAGCCGCUAGAGCAAUCACUCGACAGAGUGGCAGUGGCUUCUGUUGCUGAAUAUUCCAUCCAAAGGACAGACUGUGCCCCUGGGUUAUACUUGACACAGUGAAUGGCAUGAUGAAACCUGUAAACAGUUAAACCAUUCAGAAGUUCCUUGGACUGAGUUACUCCUGGGAAGGUUCCCUUGUGCUCUGCCUCAAACCACCGUCCGUUCUGGAUCCUGGGUCUCAUACAGAUACAUGCCCACUAGAAGUCGCCCGGAAAGAGAGAAGGUGGAAAUGUCUGUUAAUAUUCUGCCUGAUAAGAAAACUUCGAGCCCUCUGACGUUUGAAAAACCAUUGCAAAGAAACAGUUUCUGUUUGAAGAAAUAGUACCCCACGCCUAAAGUUGUCUAGAAGCAGAUUUCACCAGAGCGAGCAGAAACGACUGUGGUGAAGAGCUGUCAAAGAGAGAGGCCGGCUGUCCUGUAGAACUGUGGCUUCUUCAGAAGCUGGAC
Myodes glareolus (Bank vole) is the source of this 1077-nucleotide non-coding RNA. The record is from RefSeq and is a predicted model, not a curated record. NCBI's taxonomy places the organism in Eukaryota, Metazoa, Chordata, Mammalia, Rodentia, Cricetidae.